AGGAAGAACGUUGUUUUUAGCACCUUCAAGUCACACACAAUAUUAUAUCGUGUGUGACUUAAGGUGCUAAAAACAACGUUCUUCCC
RNAcentral lists this microRNA precursor (86 nucleotides) under Mayetiola destructor (Hessian fly). RNAcentral describes it as "microRNA mir-263". Lineage: Eukaryota; Metazoa; Arthropoda; Insecta; Diptera; Cecidomyiidae. The record is from RNAcentral.